AACGAACGCUGGCGGCAUGCCUAACACAUGCAAGUCGAACGAGACCUUCGGGUCUAGUGGCGCACGGGUGCGUAACGCGUGGGAACCUGCCUUUAGGUUCGGAAUAACUCAGAGAAAUUUGAGCUAAUACCGGAUAAUGUCUUCGGACCAAAGAUUUAUCGCCUUUAGAUGGGCCCGCGUAAGAUUAGCUAGUUGGUGGGUAAAGGCCUACCAAGGCGACGAUCUUUAGCUGGUCUGAGAGGAUGAUCAGCCACACUGGGACUGAGACACGGCCCAGACUCCUACGGAGGCAGCAGUGGGGAAUAUUGGACAAUGGGCGAAAGCCUGAUCCAGCAAUGCCGCGUGAGUGAUGAAGGCCUUAGGGUUGUAAAGGCUCUUUUACCCGAGAUGAUAAUGACAGUAUCGGGAGAAUAAGCUCCGGCUAACUCCGUGCCAGCAGCCGCGGUAAU
RNAcentral lists this ribosomal RNA (449 nucleotides) under uncultured bacterium. RNAcentral describes it as "bacterial SSU rRNA". It matches the Rfam family "Bacterial small subunit ribosomal RNA", at positions 29 to 524 of the family's 1533-position model. The record is from RNAcentral.